ACUCCUGCGGGAGGCAGCAGUGGGGAAUAUUGGACACUGGGCGCAAGCCUGAUCCAGCCAUGCCGCGUGAGUGAUGAAGGCCCUAGGGUUGUAAAGCUCUUUCACCGGUGAAGAUAAUGACGGUAACCGGAGAAGAAGCCCCGGCUAACUUCGUGCCAGCAGCCGCGGUAAUACGAAGGGGGCUAGCGUUGUUCGGAUUUACUGGGCGUAAAGCGCACGUAGGCGGACUAUUAAGUCAGGGGUGAAAUCCCGGGGCUCAACCCCGGAACUGCCUUUGAUACUGGUAGUCUUGAGUUCGAGAGAGGUGAGUGAAAUUCCGAGUGUAGAGGUGAAAUUCGUAGAUAUUCGGAGGAACACCAGUGGCGAAGGCGGCUCACUGGCUCGAUACUGACGCUGAGGUGCGAAAGCGGGGGGAGCAAACAGGAUUAGAUACCCUAGUAGUCCC
RNAcentral lists this ribosomal RNA (445 nucleotides) under uncultured organism. RNAcentral's name for it is "partial 16S ribosomal RNA". It matches the Rfam family "Bacterial small subunit ribosomal RNA", at positions 335 to 797 of the family's 1533-position model. The record is from RNAcentral.